RNAcentral lists this transfer RNA (73 nucleotides) under Liolaemus lineomaculatus. Its description in RNAcentral is "tRNA-Asn". Lineage: Eukaryota; Metazoa; Chordata; Lepidosauria; Squamata. The record is from RNAcentral.
CCAAAUGAGUGGGCCUCGAUCCCACAAUAAAUUAGUUAACAGCUAAACACCUAAACCAGCGGGCUUUCAUUUG